UGGUCUGAAGAGGCAAGAGUAGUACUCUGAGCUGGAAGUGCGCUAAGUGAAGACUGGCCCUGCAGAUGACCCUGAUGACCACAGCCUGAAGAAGCCCCACUGGACUUUGUACGACCUGAUGGAGGAGGUCCGAAGGAACGACCUCUGCUGCGAUGGAACUGGCACCUAGACAAAGCACCGUUGAAACUACCUGAACCCCUAGGCCUUUUGGCCUCCCUCUCCUGAUGCUCCCGACGACGAUCUCCCUCAAUCUAACGAGCCAUAUCAACUACCUCUUCAAACAAGGCGGCCACAACUCUCUCUCUAGUCAUCAAAAUGCGACUGAUAUAGUUUAGGCCAUCCAUGAACCUCCUAAUCCUCUCCCUAAACCUCCUAAUCUUCUCCCGAUCUGUCGGGGUCAUCCAAGUAGCAUGCCGAGAUAGCUGCGUAAACCUCAACUCAUGCUGGUUCACAGUUAUGCCCCCCUUAACCAACCACUCAAACUGACGACGCAGCUCCUCCCUGCGAGACUGCGGUACCUACUUCUCCACGAAGAGAGUGGAGAAUUGCUGCCAAGUAAGGGGUGCUGCUCCAACAGACCUACGCCUCUCAAACUCCUCCCACCAUGUAAAUGUAGGCCCUGAGAACUAGAAGGUAGUAAAAGCCACUCUACUCGACUCCAAUAUCCUGCAGUGCGAAGCAUACGCUGACACUUGUCCAGAAAUCCCUAUGAAUCCUCUCCCUACGUACCACUGAACGUCGGAGGCUGGAGCCUGCCGAACCUCUCCAAUCGACGUUGCUCGUCUUCUGGAAUAACUGGAACCACAAAGUCUGGAGCUAGUGUGACUGGCGCAACUGGUGCAACUGGGGAAACUCCCGGUACUGAAAUCCCUAAACACCUUGCUCGGGUGUGCGGGCAGCGGGGGUCUGCUGACCACCCCCGGUUUGAGAAGUAGCUGCUGCAAUAGUGACUGAUAAGGCCUG
This 963-nucleotide long non-coding RNA is filed under the name Nicotiana benthamiana. RNAcentral describes it as "long non-coding RNA (NBEN_LNC022220)". Lineage: Eukaryota; Viridiplantae; Streptophyta; Magnoliopsida; Solanales; Solanaceae. The record is from RNAcentral.